This 1372-nucleotide ribosomal RNA is filed under the name uncultured bacterium. RNAcentral's name for it is "bacterial SSU rRNA". It matches the Rfam family "Bacterial small subunit ribosomal RNA", at positions 28 to 1381 of the family's 1533-position model. The record is from RNAcentral.
GAUGAACGCUGGCGGCGUGCCUAAUACAUGCAAGUCGAGCGAACAGAUAAGGAGCUUGCUCCUUUGAAGUUAGCGGCGGACGGGUGAGUAACACGUGGGUAACCUACCUAUAAGACUGGGAUAACUUCGGGAAACCGGAGCUAAUACCGGAUAACAUUUAGAACCGCAUGGCUCUAAAGUGAAAGAUGGUUUUGCUAUCACUUAUAGAUGGACCCGCGCCGUAUUAGCUAGUUGGUAAGGUAACGGCUUACCAAGGCGACGAUACGUAGCCGACCUGAGAGGGUGAUCGGCCACACUGGAACUGAGACACGGUCCAGACUCCUACGGGAGGCAGCAGUAGGGAAUCUUCCGCAAUGGGCGAAAGCCUGACGGAGCAACGCCGCGUGAGUGAUGAAGGGUUUCGGCUCGUAAAACUCUGUUAUUAGGGAAGAACAAAUGUGUAAGUAACUGUGCACAUCUUGACGGUACCUAAUCAGAAAGCCACGGCUAACUACGUGCCAGCAGCCGCGGUAAUACGUAGGUGGCAAGCGUUAUCCGGAAUUAUUGGGCGUAAAGCGCGCGUAGGCGGUUUCUUAAGUCUGAUGUGAACGCCCACGGCUCAACCGUGGAGGGUCAUUGGAAACUGGGAAACUUGAGUGCAGAAGAGGAAAGUGGAAUUCCAUGUGUAGCGGUGAAAUGCGCAGAGAUAUGGAGGAACACCAGUGGCGAAGGCGACUUUCUGGUCUGUAACUGACGCUGAUGUGCGAAAGCGUGGGGAUCAAACAGGAUUAGAUACCCUGGUAGUCCACGCCGUAAACGAUGAGUGCUAAGUGUUAGGGGGUUUCCGCCCCUUAGUGCUGCAGCUAACGCAUUAAGCACUCCGCCUGGGGAGUACGACCGCAAGGUUGAAACUCAAAGGAAUUGACGGGGACCCGCACAAGCGGUGGAGCAUGUGGUUUAAUUCGAAGCAACGCGAAGAACCUUACCAAAUCUUGACAUCCUUUGAAAACUCUAGAGAUAGAGCCUUCCCCUUCGGGGGACAAAGUGACAGGUGGUGCAUGGUUGUCGUCAGCUCGUGUCGUGAGAUGUUGGGUUAAGUCCCGCAACGAGCGCAACCCUUAAGCUUAGUUGCCAUCAUUAAGUUGGGCACUCUAGGUUGACUGCCGGUGACAAACCGGAGGAAGGUGGGGAUGACGUCAAAUCAUCAUGCCCCUUAUGAUUUGGGCUACACACGUGCUACAAUGGACAAUACAAAGGGCAGCUAAACCGCGAGGUCAUGCAAAUCCCAUAAAGUUGUUCUCAGUUCGGAUUGUAGUCUGCAACUCGACUACAUGAAGCUGGAAUCGCUAGUAAUCGUAGAUCAGCAUGCUACGGUGAAUACGUUCCCGGGUCU